RNAcentral lists this ribosomal RNA (459 nucleotides) under uncultured bacterium. RNAcentral's name for it is "partial 16S ribosomal RNA". It matches the Rfam family "Bacterial small subunit ribosomal RNA", at positions 338 to 795 of the family's 1533-position model. The record is from RNAcentral.
CCUACGGGAGGCAGCAGUGAGGAAUAUUGGUCAAUGGGCGCGAGCCUGAACCAGCCAAGUCGCGUGAGGGAAGACGGUCCUAUGGAUUGUAAACCUCUUUUGUCGGGGAGCAAAAGACGCCACGUGUGGCGUUCCGAGAGUACCCGAAGAAAAAGCAUCGGCUAACUCCGUGCCAGCAGCCGCGGUAAUACGGAGGAUGCGAGCGUUAUCCGGAUUUAUUGGGUUUAAAGGGUGCGCAGGCGGAAGAUCAAGUCAGGGGUAAAAUUGAGAGGCUCAACCUCUACGAGCCGUUGAAACUGGUAUUCUUGAGUGAAUGAGAGGUAUGCGGAAUGCGUGGUGUAGCGGUGAAAUGCAUAGAUAUCACGCAGAACUCCGAUUGCGAAGGCAGCAUACCGGCGCUCAACUGACGCUCAUGCACGAAAGUGUGGGUAUCGAACAGGAUUAGAUACCCGGGUAGUC